CUGUUCUCAAGGGGAGGGAGGGAAUUAAGGCCCACUUCUUUUUUUUUUUUUUUUUUUUUUUUGAGACAAGAGUCUGGCUCUGUCGCCCAGGCUGGAGUGCAGUGGCGCCAUCUCGGCUCACUGCAAGCUCCGCCUCCCGGGUUCAUGCCAUUCUCCUGCCUCAGCCUCCCGACUAGCUGGGACUACAGGCGCCUGCCACCACGCCCGGCUAAUUUUUUGUAUUUUUAGUAGAGACGGGGUUUCAUCGUGUUAGCCAGGAUGGUCUCGAUCUGCUGACCUCGUCAUCCGCCCGCUUCGGCCUCCCAAAGUGCUGGGAUGACAGGCGUGAGCCACCGCACCCGGCCAAGGCCCACUUCUUAAGGAAUUAGAGGACGCAUUUAAGAUGACCACAGGUCACGUGAGUGGUUCUUUAGCUCUGAAGUCUCAGAAGUGCUUUCUGAAGGGGGGGCUACUGAGCACCACAGAACCUGGCCUUCCAUCUGCCCUGGGCUCACAGCCUCACCUGGGGAGCAGGCGGCCGUUCUCUGUACCUGGCGUGAGGUCUCCUGGCCACGGACGUUGUUGGCGUCACACCUGUGGCACCUGAGGUGAAUUGUUCAGAUGGAAACAGCACCGUCAGGCAAUUGGCAACAGAAGCCCAAAGCCCUGGGUGCCUCAGGUCAGAGGGAGGAAGGAAUGCAAGGGCCCCGCUCCCCCCAGUGCCAGGAGCGUGUGUUCACAGCUUUAGGCAGGACAACCCACUGCAAAUCCAAAGCAGAAAACAUGGUCCAACUCCAUCUCUGUGGCACCUUCACAGAUGGUGCCCACCUGCCUUGGCAGUGAUGACCGACACUGCGAACGCUGUGCUGGCAGUGUGUUUAAGGGCUUUAACUGAAUCGUCUCGAUGGAGCUGAAAUCCAGCCCCAUUUUACAGAAGAGAAAACUGAGGCUUAGAGAGAUCAGGUGUCAAGUUCUAUGCCAAGCACAGGGAAGCAAAAACAGGACACACUCAACAUAAAGUGGCCCCAGGAAUCGGUGGCCAGGACACGGGAGGUGUGCUGAGUGCAGAUGGGCAGAUGCAAGCUGAGGUGGCCUGUUGGAGGGUCCUGGACCUUCCGGAAAAGAGGACAUCAGCUGCUCAGGGAGGGAAGAUUUGAGAUAGACUCUGGCUGGUGUGGAUCAGCCCAUGGUGUGUUUGCAGGCAGGGACACCUUGAACAGACAUGGGCUGAGGGGAGUUUGUGUGGAGCGUGGCCAGUGAAGGCUGGGCUGGCCGGCAGGGUCCGCUGGUCAUGGGAGGCCUGGCCUGCAGCAGCAGGGCCCAUCAAAGACGUGGGGACGGAUGGCUGAUGGACAGCGUUUUAGAAGGUCGCAGGCUUGUUUAGGCUGAGGCCAGGGAGGGUUAGGGUCCUCAGGGAGGGAGAGUAAGCUAGGGGAGCCUCCUGCCUAGAAGACUUUGUACCUGAGGCCGUCCCCUAGGAGUUCAGCCACCCCGUGGAGAGCCUGGCGCUGACUGUGGAAGAGGUGAUGGACGUGCGCCGUGUGCUGGUGAAGGCCGAGAUGGAAAAGUUUUUGCAGAACAAGGAGCUCUUCAGCAGUCUGAAGAAGGGGAAGAUUUGCUGCUGCUGCCGGGCCAAGUUCCCGCUGUUCUCGUGGCCGCCCAGCUGUCUCUUCUGCAAGAGAGCCGUCUGCACUUCCUGUAGCAUAAAGAUGAAGAUGCCUUCUAAGAAGUUUGGACACAUCCCUGUCUACACACUGGGCUUUGAGAGUCCUCAGAGGGUAUCAGCUGCCAAAACCGCGCCAAUCCAGAGAAAAGACAUCUUUCAGUCUCUGCAGGGGCCACAGUGGCAGAGCGUGGAGGAGGCGUUCCCCCACAUCUACUCCCACGGCUGUGUCCUGAAGGAUGUCUGCAGUGAGUGCACCAGCUUUGUGGCAGACGUGGUGCGUUCCAGCCGCAAGAGCGUGGACGUCCUCAAUACUACGCCACGACGCAGUCGCCAGACCCAAUCCCUCUACAUCCCUAACACCAGGACUCUUGACUUCAAGUGACAGCCCCAGGUGGCCAGGCCUCCAGGAGGCACCAGGCAGGCCCUGUAUCAGGCUAGGACGCUCUGAGCUGUGCAUGUACAUAUAUACAUAUAUAGAUACAUUUAUAAUAUAUACACACAGCCUAUAUAUUUAUAU
This 2162-nucleotide small RNA is filed under the name Pan troglodytes (chimpanzee). Its description in RNAcentral is "retained intron". The record is from RNAcentral. Lineage: Eukaryota; Metazoa; Chordata; Mammalia; Primates; Hominidae.